AUGGACAGCUGGACUCUCCAGGGGGACAGCUACUCCUUCCUGCGCAGUGCGCCCCGCACCUUUGCCCUGUGCCAUCGUGACGGCACCCCGAACCACGUUGAAAUCUUCGACAUCAUCAACGUACCUAGUCAGCGCAGUGCAAUUUCCGAAACUACCUGCCUGUGUGACAUUUUUGGAGACGACUGUGAGUCACCCUCCCUCCCAAGAAGCCCUGCUGUAGCGGCUUUUGUCCCUUCCCAGAGGGAGGUGGAUGGGACAGCUGCUGCAUCACCCCUGGUUGAUGAUCUGAACGACUCCUCAGGCUCUUACCACACUGCACAGGGCUCCAGUGAAGGAGAGGAGGGCUUUGAAGAUUCAGGAGAAAGGGUUUACAGCCCCCCCUUGCAGAGUGAGUCUUCAGAGAGGCCUGAGGGCGAGGGACAGAGCUCAGGGCAUCAAGAAGUUUCUGAGGACAGUAGCCCCAAUUUAGAACCAAAAAGUAAAUCACCUGAGACUCAGCUUAGUAGGGCUCACAGCCCGUCAUCUGAAAUUCUCAACACUGGUGAGAGGACCCCCUCUCUUGGAAAUAACAGCCCCUAUAACCUGAGUCCAGAGGGGAGAAGGUCAUCCUUAUCUUAUUCCUCAGUUGAAAAAAGAUGUUCACCAUCGCCACCUAAUCCCAGACAAGUGCAUUCAGAAGCUGAUCCAAGGAGAAUUGCUUCUACUGUCAAAGAUAGAUUCAACAGCCCUUCACAUCAGUCUUUAACUCCAAGUCCCUCCUCUGAACCUAGGAACUGUGUCAGCUCAUGCUCUUCUGAAUCAGUGAACACCCACGCUUUGCCUGAAUUCAGGGUAGCACAAAUCUCACCUGAGGCAAGGAGCAGCGACUUUAAUCAACACAGCAGUCCCUCACCUGAGCCCACAUCCAAAGAUUUUUUUCUAGAUUUGACAGAAUCAGCCUUUGAAUCUAGAGCCCUCUGUUCAUCUCCUUUACCUUCAUCCAGUAGUACAGAUUUAUCCCAGUCAAGAGAAACACUGGUCUCUCCUGAGCUGAAGAAUAGGUCCUACUCCCCUGAUACUCAAGCACCAUCUCCUUUUCCUGAGCUAAGAAGGAGAGUCUCCCUGCCUGAUCUCUUCAGCAGAGGCUUCACACCUGAUAUUGAAAAUUCUACCCACACCCCUGAGCUGUUUUCAGAUUUUUGCACUGCAGGAAGGGACACCACAACUACUCCUGAGAGCCAAGAUACCAGCUUAUCAGUUGAACCGGUCAGCACUGUGUCUACACCUGGCCCACGAUACACUCCUCCCUCACCUGCAAUAGCAACAUCUCCUGAGCUUGCGUGGAGUAGUGUCUCACCUGAAUUAAGUCACACAGCUCCUUCACCUGGCCUGCUCAGUGCUGUUUCUCCAGCUAAAACUGGGACAAGAACUCCCUCUCCUGACCCCUUACGUAAAAUAAGACAUAUUUCAACUCCUUCUGAAAUCGGGACCCAGGUGUCUACAUCUGAGGUAAGUUAUAGUUUAUCUCCAUCACCUGAAGUUACGAGCAACGGCUUUCUCAUCGAGCACAGAUAUACUGCUCCCUCACCCGAAAUCAGGAUUACAGCCUCCUCACCUGAGGUCAGUAGGAGAGAGCAGCCUUCUGAGGUGGAGACAUCAGCCUCGCCUCUGUUAGAGCCUCACUUUGACUCUGCCUCAUCAAGAAGCCUCACUUCGUCCCCUCAUAUCACAGGGAUUUCUUACUCUGUUGUUCAGCCUGAGGACAGGGGCACUCCCCCAUUUCCUGAGCUCUUACGUCUCUCCACCCCUGAGCCUAAUAGGACACGUGUGUCCCCUGAGGCAAGGAGCCCUGCCCCAAGCACAGACAGUAUACAGAGCAGUAUAGCAGAGUCCACUGGUACACCACGAGACUCACCUCAUAUUUUAGGCUUAACAAGCUCUGUCCUGCAGCCUGAAAUAAUUCAGUCACAUCAACCUAGGUACAAAACACCUUCACCUCAGCCACAGCAUUACACUCCCUCACCUGAACCAAGAUAUCAAACCCCUUCAUCUGACCAGUAUCAAAGUCCCUCACCUCAGCACAGAGGUAAAGAGCCAUCACCUGUUGCCUCAACUCCUGAGCAGAGGUGUCAUCAGCAUUCACCAGCAAAACUCUCUACAGAGCACAACCCUCAGUAUACACAGUCUACUCCUUCUGUAAGAAAUACACCCGAGGUUGAAGUGGAUUCAUCUUCAGGUGACAUUACAGAAACAAAGUACCCCACACAUUUGGCUAAAGAGAGUGUGUCACCCUCAUUUGAAUCAGACAGGGGAGACAAAUCAGUUGUAACUGAAAUCAAAAGCAGAUCACCAGUGGUGGUAGUUCAUUCAACUAAAUCUACUUCACCUUACUUAGCAGAGGAAAAAGUAGACAGUUCAUUGAAACAACAAAGCACAGAGAGGGAAGCAACACCAAACCUUCAGGAUAACUCAAGUGUAGCCUCCUUGUCUGAGGAAAAACAAGCAAUUGGCCCAACCAUUUUUCAGAAAGAAGACACUUAUAAGAAUCCCCCCAUUGGAAUCAAGUCUCCUUCUCCUAAUCGUCUAGUCUCUAAAGACAGAAGUCCAUCCAACUCCGCUGUGCAGAGACCGGAAAACCCACAGCCUCAAUUCACUCCUUGUUCCCUAACUCCUGAAAGCAGCAGUUCAUUAAAAUCACUUUGUACACCUGAGCACGUGAGAAGACAGCUGUCAACCAGCGUUAGACGUGAAAACCAAGAGAGGUUCACAGAGGACAUGGCCCACCAUGUAAACAGACGGCGGACACCCUCUCCACCACUCACCAGGUUUACACCUGUGCACAUUAUAGCCCCUGAGAAACCAUACAGACAGUGGCAGAACAGAAGCCGUAGCCCCUCUCAGGUUGUAGGAUCCUCACCGAGUGGUAAUUUAAAGAAAGCGGUGACAAAUAGGGAAAGCCCCAAUGUUGACCCUGUUGACAAUAAUAGCCAGGCCCACUGGGUCAGGCUAGGAACGCAAUUGGAGAUGGAGAAGGAAAUGCAGCUGGAGGAGGAUAGAGAGGUAGGUAGGGAGAGGCAAAUGGAUAGAGAGAUGGAGAGAGAGAGAAAGAGGGAGGAGCGGCUUCCUGAAAAGGGGAAGGGGUGGCAGGGGGACACCAGUUACAGGGGAGAACAGGUUGAGCUGUCAUUCAAUGCCAGGAAUAGAAAAGGGCCUGCAAGUCGCAGAGCAGCUCCCACAAGCAGAGAGACCCGUCAGGGACUGCCAACAGUGCAUUCCUAUUCAGAGGGCUUGCUUGCCACCAGACAGCUACAGCAACAACAAAGUCUGCUUAGACUUGCUUCACAACAAGACACCAGGGGUGGUGGUUCCAGCAGACGGCUUCAACAUCCUGCAUCCCAGAAGAAGAACAGUGGUCCUGGACGCGUGUCCAUAAACAGGCCCUGCCAGAGUUCCAGCUCCAGCAUGGGAAGUGAGCUUGAUGAGGCAGACAAUGAGGUGAAGUGGUUUACAGACUUGGCUUUCAGCAGCCUGUCAAGCCCUGAGGUAGAUUACCUUGAUAUGUACAACUCCAGUCACCGUUCAUCUACCAACAUUUCUCAACCAUCUACGCAGGAGAGCCCAGCUGGGCUCAAUGCUGCUUGGCUGGCCUAUGCUGACUUCAGGGGUUCUGCUCCAAAGUUGGACAAUGAUGAACUCUCCUUCCAUCAACCAUCUGCAUACUACUCAGAUGGCCUAGAUCCAUCAAGGCGCUAUGAAAUGGGCAGCUUUGAGUGCGUAGAUGUGGCUGUGGAAAGAGAUGACUCCAGGAAGGUGAGAAGAGGAGUGCCAAAGAGACAGAUCCAGCUGAAGAGAAAGGAUAAUGCUGAAGGGACGCAGGAUGAGAGCAGUGAAAAUAGUAGUCCUGGAGUACCAGUGAUGGUGGACAGCCCCUCUCUAGAGAGAAACUCCAGAGAGACAUUCGUGAGACAACACAGUACACCAGCAGCAAUGCAAGAAUGUUACCCUUUUGAGCACAACCUUGAGCCCAGUCAACAAAAUGAAAGAAAAUCCAGACUCCAGAAAUCUGCUUCUCUGGAUGAAACAUGCACUAAAACCAAGAUGGCCUCUUGUCUCAUCAAGAGUGUGUUGUCCAAGAGGAUGCAAAGUGGUGAUAAACAACCUGAUGAGCAGGCAGAACAAAAAGUGAGCCCCACUUCUGAGGAAAACAGCCCAUCACCCGAGUCCCCAAAACCUGACAUUCAUAAUCUGAGUUCCAGUCUUCCGUCAGAUUAUAGUCUUUCAUCUGAGGGGCUAUCUGUGAGAGGAGAACAAAGCGCAAAGGACGAAGCCAAACCACCAAAGAGCUUUGGAGUGAGAUCCAAUAACAGGCCAAGUUCAUCCAGCAGCAGCAAAAGUGUUAACUUUUCACAAACUGAGAGUGAAGAAGCUGAUUCUCAAAGAAGGAAUUCAACAUCAUCAAGAUCUGAAAUGAGAUCAGAACUGAAAGUGCCACUUGAUAGUAAACGGUCAAGAGCUGAAGUACAACAAGCAAAUGACAGUAAAACAUGGGACGGAAGGGAGGGGGAUGAGUCAGCAAAUGCCACUGCCGGGAACACAGGAGCUCCUUCUGCCACUGGAGCCAGCAGCACGCAGGCCAGGGCGACAAAUAGAGACCAGGAAUGUGAAAACACAUUGGACCAUAAACAACCACAACAGGGUGACAAGGGUGGCUACACAUCAAAAACACAAGAGAUUACACUCAAAAGCAAAAAGAAAGCCUCCCUAAAUGUUUGUCUCACACCUGAAGCAGAAAACAAAACUUAUGCUUCUUCACCAGACAUGUCUUUCAGAGAGAAGGAGGAAAGGGUAGACACCAGUGUAGAGAAAACAGAGGAAGAAGAAGGGAAUGUUAAGGUCCCCAUUCACAAAGUUAGAGAUGUGAGGCGACUUGUAAAAAAUACAUAUAAUCUGUCCUUCAAGGCAACUAGUGCUGUAAUACCAUCACAUGUCAAUGAGGAAAGAAUGGAACAUUUUAAUGAGAAAAAAAGGGAAGCAAUAAAAGAGAAAAGGAGAGAAGAGGUCAUUGCAGGGGAAGAGACUGUGUUAAGGCAAGAGAUAAGGAGGGAGGAGGGGAGUUCAGAGAGGGAAGAGGAGUUCAGAGUGGAGAGGAAAGAGGAACCAAAAGAGGAGGUAAAAGACUCAAAGCUGCAGACAUCCUCUCCGUCUCCUCGGAGCAAAGUAAAUCCCUUGUCUCGUCCACAGCCAAUGCAAAUAGAAUACAAGGCUGUCUGCUGGAAAGAAGACAAAAAUAAAAUGUUCUGCAGCACAAAAGACUCAGAGAAUCCAGGUGGCAAACACCAGGCAGAUCCAAAGCAUGUCAUCGAGGUAAGCAGAGAUUCACAGAAGUCCUUGAAUGCAGAUACACAGAAUUACAAAACAGGAGACACUGCAACUGCCAUGCCAUGUCAACAUGACCUAAACAUGGCAAGAGAAAAACAAGAGACUAUGAUAGAAAUGCAUAAAGUGCCCGACAAUGAGGACAAACCUGUGGUGGUUAGAACAGACAGAAAACCUCCCAUUCUUGGAAGUCUCCCCAAACUGCCCAGUAAGGAAAGAGAGGUGUCCACUGCUGUAGUGUUAAUAAAGGAUGGAUCCAGCAAGACCAAGACAUCUCCAGCCCAAGAAGAGAUUCCCACCCCACUCCAGGCUCCAGCUGCUUCACCCUCACCUAGGCCCACUACCCCUGGCAGCACCCCUGGUAGCAGCGGUCAUUCAGUUUCCAUGUUAUUAAAGGAGAAAGGCUACCAAGCUGACAUCGGAGCAGUGGUGGGUGACAACCAGAAUGCAGCUGGAGGUAAAGGGGUUCCCCGUAAGCAUGUAAACUGCCUAGAGAUCCCCCUUCAGACCAUCACUCCUUCAGAUGGAAGUCAAAUCGAGUCUCAUAGAGAGAGGACAUUCUCCUCCUCAUCUACCACGUCUGGCCCUUCAGCAGUGUCUGACAACACAGACACCCUUACAAAGACCAGAGAAGAUGAGGGAGGGAGCAUUAAGCCUACUGUAAAAGACACAGCAAAGCAAAAACGUUCUUCUCCACUAAGGAAUAUGCUGGAGCAAACACCACCUCCCACCAAACAGAAGGAACUGGGAGAUUUUGAAGCUGUGAAAAGACAAGAUCCAACUUUCCCCCCAAAGUCCCCUGCGAUAAGGAGGUUCAGACCACAGCCAAUUGAGGUUAAGUCACUGUCUAAAGACAUACAGAAACAAGAGAUGCCCGCAAACUCUACAGGAAACAAUAGGCCUCAAACCAUUGAGGUCAAAUCUGUAGCUAAAAAUUUUCAAAAGCCAGUUGUGCCUCCAAAACCAAGUUGCAAAUUUAAACCUGCAGAUUUAGGAACAAUGCCUGAUGAAGCACAGAGACCAUCAGCAACAACAACAUCAACUGUAAAACCACAAGGUGAGGAUAGGUCUCAAACAAUUGUAGUGUCCUCACCUACAAUCUAUAGAAAGAUAUCCAAUGAGUCCACAACAACAUCAAACUAUACAAGAAAACUAGCUGUGUCUGCAGUAUCCAGCCUCAAACCUCCACCUUGCAAAACCACAGCCACCCCCAUCUCCAAUCUCUCAACCCAGUUAACAACACCAUCAGAGACAGAGCCACCUAAUGAAAGGGUUCAGCAGCAAAAGCUAGGGGCCUCCUCUCAGAGCUCUAGUUAUACACAAAGACCCACAACUUUAGCGAUAGCCCUAACAUCGGGCUCUAGCCCAAGUUUAACCUCAGGUCCAGGUCCGGUUUCUGACCCAAAAACGAACCCUGUCCAAACCCAAGUCUCAGCCGACGCUAACAAGCCAAGCCAGCCAGCUGUUGUGGAUCCAGAUACCCAACCACAGUAUCCCAGGACUGCAUAUCCUCAUGAACAAGCUAUGCCGGUAACUUCAAACUAUACAAAACAACCAGCUGCUGUUUCCACAACACAAGUGCCAGGAUACACACACCAGCCAUACCACAGAUCACUAGCCAGUGAGCGCUCCCAAAGGACAGAUGAGCUGCGUUUUUAUGCCUCAGAUGACCCUCCAAGCUACGAUGAAAGAGAAAGCUUUAGUCCCCUCAUGCUCCCAGAUCUGACCCACAGGAGGUCAAACCGCUAUCAACCCUCCUCCCGCCCUCUUCCCUGCUCCUGCACAGCUGGCUGCCCUUCCCACCCUGGUCUGACCCCUCCUCACCAUCACCGCAGCCCCCAUAACCUUACCCCCCCUGCCCCUCCACACUCUCCAGGCCACACACUGCCUUACCCAGUGGCUCAGCCCUCUCUCCGUACCCACCAGUGCAGACCUGACCCUCAGCAGAUGAGCUACCAGCUCAGCUCUCCCAAAUCCAGCCCUCUUGGUCCAAGCCAGCCACCGGCCAUGUACCAGCCUCUCCACCAACCUCCUCCCUGCCCUCCCCACCCAUCACUCAUGCAGGCCUGCCCUGCAGACCGCCCAUUGCAGCCACCACAGCAUACUGACCCUCGACGACCCCCUGUACAUAGAUCCCCCCAGCAACAGCCACCAGGAAUGGCUGGGGCUCCUUACAGUGAAACUGGCCACAGCCACUCUCCUGGCCUUCCUCCUAUGGAUCCCCAGUACCUAUGUGGCCCUCAAAGCCUGGGGCCUUCGUAUGGCUCUGAAUAUGGGGGUGACGGCUCCAGUUUGUACUCAGAGAGUAGCUAUGGACAAACACCUCGCAGAGUUCUCCUGGAUCCUGAGACAGGGAAGUAUUUUUAUAUUGAGGUGCCUGUACAACCACUGAGGAAAAUGUUGUUUGACCCAGAGACUGGUCAAUAUGUGGAAGUGCUCAUCCCACAGCAAGCAAUGUCACAUUCAGGCCUUUAUCCUCCUUCAGCAGCUCCCUACGCAUCUCUCCACAACCCCAACAUGUACGCCCCUGCUCCUCAGUACGUGCCCUAUGCAGCUCCUCCUCCCCCAGCUCAUCCCCAGCCUCAGCCCCAGCCUCAGCCCCAGCCACCCCGAUAUCCUGAGGCCUCUGCUGCAGCAACAAUGCACCCAAGUGGGCCUGGGGUCAGUUACAGGAAUUCCUCUGGUCAGGUGCCCAAGCCAGAGACACAGAACCAUCCACCACUGGACCAGAGCUACCUGGAGAGUAUGUAUUAUGUGCCUACAGGGAUGAAUGCGAGCCCCAAUCCCACCCCACCAGACUAUUACCACAAACAUCCCCCCAACCUACCCCCAACAGGGGGGAAAAGAUCCUGA
Molecule: long non-coding RNA, 8208 nt
Organism: Dicentrarchus labrax (European seabass)
Lineage: Eukaryota; Metazoa; Chordata; Actinopteri; Moronidae
Source: Ensembl